CGCCAGACUCCUACGGGAGGCAGCAGUGGGGAAUAUUGCACAAUGGGGGAAACCCUGAUGCAGCGACGCCGCGUGAGUGAAGAAGUAUUUCGGUAUGUAAAGCUCUAUCAGCAGGAACGAGACAAGACGGUACCUGACUAAGAAGCCCCGGCUAACUACGUGCCAGCAGCCGCGGUAAUACGUAGGGGGCAAGCGUUAUCCGGAAUCACUGGGUGUAAAGGGAGCGUAGACGGCUGUGCAAGCCUGAAGUGAAGGGCGGGGGCCCAACCCCUGGACUGCUUUGGGAACUGUACGGCUGGAGUGCAGGAGAGGUAAGUGGAAUUCCUAGUGUAGCGGUGAAAUGCGUAGAUAUUAGGAGGAACACCAGUGGCGAAGGCGGCUUACUGGACUGUAACUGACGUUGAGGCUCGAAAGCGUGGGGAGCAAACAGGAUUAGAUACCCCCGUAA
RNAcentral lists this ribosomal RNA (448 nucleotides) under uncultured bacterium. RNAcentral's name for it is "bacterial SSU rRNA". It matches the Rfam family "Bacterial small subunit ribosomal RNA", at positions 329 to 793 of the family's 1533-position model. The record is from RNAcentral.